GGAGAGGUGGCCGAGUGGACGAAGGCGGCAGACUCGAAAUCUGUUGUAGGCAACCCCUACCGCGGGUUCGAAUCCCGCCCUCUCCG
RNAcentral lists this transfer RNA (86 nucleotides) under Deltaproteobacteria bacterium. RNAcentral's name for it is "tRNA-Ser". It matches the Rfam family "tRNA". From Rfam's summary of the family: Transfer RNA (tRNA) molecules are approximately 80 nucleotides in length. Their secondary structure includes four short double-helical elements and three loops (D, anti-codon, and T loops). Lineage: Bacteria; Pseudomonadati; Myxococcota; Myxococcia. The record is from RNAcentral.